Molecule: ribosomal RNA, 1370 nt
Filed under: Flavobacterium sp.
Lineage: Bacteria; Pseudomonadati; Bacteroidota; Flavobacteriia; Flavobacteriales; Flavobacteriaceae
Description: bacterial SSU rRNA
Rfam family: Bacterial small subunit ribosomal RNA
Source: RNAcentral
UCGAGGGGUAGAAGUCUUCGGACUUUGAGACCGGCGCACGGGUGCGUAACGCGUAUGCAAUCUGCCUUACACUAAGGGAUAGCCCAGAGAAAUUUGGAUUAAUACCUUAUAGUAUAUUGAUGUGGCCUCACAUUAUUAUUAAAGAUUUAUCGGUGUAAGAUGAGCAUGCGUCCCAUUAGCUAGUUGGUAUGGUAACGGCAUACCAAGGCUAUGAUGGGUAGGGGUCCUGAGAGGGAGAUCCCCCACACUGGUACUGAGACACGGACCAGACUCCUACGGGAGGCAGCAGUGAGGAAUAUUGGUCAAUGGGCGCAAGCCUGAACCAGCCAUGCCGCGUGCAGGAUGAAGCAUCUAUGGUGUGUAAACUGCUUUUGUACGGGAAGAAACACCUCUACGUGUAGAGGCUUGACGGUACCGUAAGAAUAAGGAUCGGCUAACUCCGUGCCAGCAGCCGCGGUAAUACGGAGGAUCCAAGCGUUAUCCGGAAUCAUUGGGUUUAAAGGGUCCGUAGGCGGUUUUGUAAGUCAGUGGUGAAAUCCGGCAGCUCAACUGUCGAACUGCCAUUGAUACUGCAGGACUUGAAUUAUUGUGAAGUAACUAGAAUAUGUAGUGUAGCGGUGAAAUGCUUAGAUAUUACAUGGAAUACCCAUUGCGAAGGCAGGUUACUAACAAUGGAUUGACGCUGAUGGACGAAAGCGUGGGGAGCGAACAGGAUUAGAUACCCUGGUAGUCCACGCCGUAAACGAUGGAUACUAGCUGUUCGGAAGCAAUUCUGAGUGGCUAAGCGAAAGUGAUAAGUAUCCCACCUGGGGAGUACGGGCGCAAGCCUGAAACUCAAAGGAAUUGACGGGGGCCCGCACAAGCGGUGGAGCAUGUGGUUUAAUUCGAUGAUACGCGAGGAACCUUACCAGGGCUUAAAUGUAGUGGGACAGGCUUGGAAACAGGCCCUUCUUCGGACUCAUUACAAGGUGCUGCAUGGUUGUCGUCAGCUCGUGCCGUGAGGUGUCAGGUUAAGUCCUAUAACGAGCGCAACCCCUGUUGUUAGUUGCCAGCGAGUGAUGUCGGGAACUCUAACAAGACUGCCGGUGCAAACCGUGAGGAAGGUGGGGAUGACGUCAAAUCAUCACGGCCCUUACGUCCUGGGCUACACACGUGCUACAAUGGCCGGUACAGAGAGCAGCCACUGGGCGACCAGGAGCGAAUCUAUAAAGCCGGUCACAGUUCGGAUCGGAGUCUGCAACCCGACUCCGUGAAGCUGGAAUCGCUAGUAAUCGGAUAUCAGCCAUGAUCCGGUGAAUACGUUCCCGGGCCUUGUACACACCGCCCGUCAAGCCAUGGAAGCUGGGGGUACCUGAAGUCGGUGACCGCAA